UAGUCAUAUGCUUGUCUCAAAGAUUAAGCCAUGCAUGUGUCAGUACAGGCCUCACUAAGGCAAAACCGCGAAUGGCUCAUUAAAUCAGUUAUCAUCUCUUGACUCUACGCCCAAUUACUUGGAUAACCCUGGUAAUUCUAGAGCUAAUACGUGACCCAUACACUCCGACCGCAAGGGACGAGUGCUUUUAUUAGAUGAGAACCGAUCGGGCCUCGGUCCGCCAAACACAAAUCGUGUUGAAUCUGAAUAACUUUGAGCAGAGAGCACGGUCUCCGCGCCGGCUCCGAGAUCUUCGAGUUUCUGCCUUAUCAUGCUGUGGAUUGUAGGCCAUGCGCCUACAGUGGCUGUAACGGGUGACGGAGAAUCAGGGUUCGAUUCCGGAGAGGGAGCCUGAGAAACGGCUACCACAUCCAAGGAAGGCAGCAGGCACGCAAAUUACCCAAUCCCAGCUCGGGGAGGUAGUGACGAAAAAUAACAAUGCGGGACUCUUCCGAGUCUGCGUAAUUGGAAUGAGCACACUUUAAAUCCUUUAGCAACAACCAAUUGGAGGGCAAGUCUGGUGCCAGCAGCCGCGGUAAUUCCAGCUCCAAUAGCGUAUAUUAAUGUUGUUGCA
RNAcentral lists this ribosomal RNA (613 nucleotides) under Hippolyte ngi. Its description in RNAcentral is "bacterial SSU rRNA". It matches the Rfam family "Eukaryotic small subunit ribosomal RNA", at positions 21 to 617 of the family's 1831-position model. The record is from RNAcentral. Lineage: Eukaryota; Metazoa; Arthropoda; Malacostraca; Decapoda; Hippolytidae.